UUAAGUAAGGCUUAUGCUUUUUUUAUUACUUAUUUUUCCUGCUUUACCUUGUCCGUUCCACACCAUGCUGGCCUUGGAUUUUCCUGCUGCUGACAGAAGCUGUCUACGUGCAGUGGGCCAAGCUACGCUGGGUGAGGUGGCCAGGGACCACGUUUGCCUGCCCCUGCCCAGCAUCAGCUUUGAAAGUUAGAAGACACCAGAGCUGAAUGCCGCAAUAGACAGAAGAGUGGUUUAGGGCUGCAGCACAACCUCUGUCACAGUUCUCUCUGGAUUUGUUUUUGAAGCAACUCUGGAUUUACCUGGGGGAAAAAAAUGUGUGAUCCGUUUUAGUGAGCACAAAGAGAAGGAAAGAGGAAUUCUUCAGUGGAAGUCAUCUGCGAAUUGCAACAAUAAGUGAAGUGCUGCAGUAGAACUCACUCUCUAAAGGUGUCCAAGAUGGAAGUUUUCCUCCUCCAGACUUGAAGAAGCAACACUCCCAUUUUCCCUACCAGCCUAAUUUUCCACGUAUUUCCAUUUUCUUGGCCAUCUAAAGUCAAUAUGCAUUAAGCAUACAUCUUCUUGUUAUGUCUCCUGGAAUAAAAACCUUACAGACAUUCAGAAAAAUUUUAAGUUUCUUUUGUGAACCACCUGCAGGAUGAGCUUGGUGUCACCUAGUGCCGAAAGGUUUGGGUACUAUCAGGUCGUGUGAGGCUGGAGAGGAAGCAGAGCUGGGCUGACACCAGAAGGGUUGCCUGCCUACUCCAUCCUAUCCCCUCAAAAGGGUGGGUUACCUCCGAUUGCCUUAAAAUAAACAAAUACCAUUUUUUGAAAUGAAUACCCCCAAAGUCAUCUUUGACUACCAGGAUUAUUUGGCCACUUGUUUUAUGGGAUAGUCAGAGCAAGCGUGAAUGUAUAGACUGUAGCUUUGUGUGUUUCAUUGUGUGCAACCCAUUUAUAGAAAAAGAGCUGUUAUGAAAGCGUUUAGCAAAACUAUAAAUGUUUAUAAUAUUAUAGCUUUUACUAUCAACUCAUCAUGCUAACAGCUAUGAUUACUGUUCUUUGUUAAUUAAAAGCUGUUUUGUAACAAAAAGCUUCAUAUUUAAUGUCAAGCUGGGCUGAAAUUAAUCUAAAAGAUAUUAAUAUGCGCACAGUAUCUGUGACCUACUCUUCGUUGUGACAUUGUGCUUUCAAAAUAUAAAAUGACCUGCUUUUCUAGCAUAUGAAUGUUUAUAUUCACUUUUUAAGAGCUUAAUGUCCAAAAUCUAAUUUUAAAAUAGCUUUUUUUCUGAUGUGUUGACAGCAACUAAUUGUUAUUCAAAGAUAAUACUAUUGCAAGCUAAGCUUGUUAAAUUAAACUGUUUGAUUUACCUUUCAUUUCUUCUGCCUCCUUAGAAAAUCUUCCUAGUUCAGUGCUGCAUGAUAUUUUCUCUAGUUGUGCAUGUGAAGAACUGUAGUCACUGGACCUUGGAGAGUACAUAGGAAGGAGUGGUAUUUUUCUUCUCUAGCAUUAGGAGCAUAGGGCACUAAAGUCUCUUCUUUUCUUCGUUCCCUCUACCUUGCUUCAAAAAAAAGCAAAGGUCCAAAAAAAUCAUUUAAUGCUGUCAUUUCAUAUUCUCCAUACUUCUGGAACAAAGCUAUUUAAGCCUGCGAUCUAAAUAGCUGUUCACAGCUGCUGCCAGCUUAUACCCUGGUGCUAGUUAGAGCUGCUCACUGUAACGCUGGAGAGACCCCUUUUAAAUAUAGUAUUUUGACAAACUUUAAACACUGUGUUCUUUGGUUAGAUUCCUUGUCUAAGCCUCUUUGUAUUUCACACAUUUAGGAGUACUGACAUUAAGCUCAUCUCUGUUAAAUGUGGCGAGCUGUAAUCACUUAAUGAGAAACAAUUUUUAAGAACAAAUAGAGGUAAUUCAGCACUACUAGUAUAACAUUGCAUAAAAUGUUCUUUGCACUAGUCAGUUUUCCAAACAGCACAGUCAUGUUUGGUUUUGGCAAGGUCCUCUGGUUCUACACUGCCGUUGUAGCUGAGCUACUCUGUACCAGGUUUUUAACUACACUUUUCCAGUAGCUUUUACUCAGCCUUCCUGAGCAUUUAGAGCAUUUCUAAAGAGAAAAUACAAAGCUAAACCAAAGGCAGUUAUGUUUAUAUUGGGAAAAUAUUUGUAACAUUGAGAAAUAACUUUUCAUCAUCUCUCUCAAUUCUUAUCUAUUUAUUCCAUAAUCCUAUCAAAGUAAAGAUAAGAAAAUAAAUGGCUGGAUCGUAUGUUGGUGCUCUUGUGUAGAGUAUGUAAAGUGGCCCACUGAAACUUCUGACCUACUGGUCUCGCUUCCCAGGUAAGGAUUUUCUAAUUCUUUCUUCCAGUUCACUCUUACGUUGCCUUCUUCUUGACUUUGAGAAGCAUCACCAGUCUCUGUUUGUUUUGAUUUAAAACUAUUUUAUUUUUUUUGAGGAAGAGUGAAGUGAAAAAUAAAAAGUUAGAGAUAAUGAAACUUUCUCUUUCUGCAUAAAGUAGGAUAGCUUAGUAUUAUUUUAAAGAACAAAAGUAUGUUGUCCAUGUUUUAACCAAAACAAUUAACUUUUAAAAAAAUCUUGCUACUAAUUUGCAUCAACAUCGUUGUACCAAACAAGUUGUACCACUGUGGGAUUUACUACUCUAAAAGUCUGUAGCAUCACAGACUUCAAACUUCUUUUAUACUAGAAUGGAUGACAAGGAUUUGAGUAUCUAAGUAGCAUAUAGGUGCAAAAUAUUCAAAAUAAAUACUAAGAAAUAUGCAGAAAAUAUUAAUUGGAAAGGAAUGGCAAUUGAUGGCAUUGAGUUGUGUUGAUGUGUUGUUGGCAAAGAGUUUGUGUUGACAUGGAAAGGAAUUAUAUAUGUUCUGUUUAGUGGACUUCUGUAACGCAUUAUGUUUUUUUUAGCUGCUGUAUUAAAGAUGGCUUGGGCUUCCCUCAGUGGAAGCUUUAAUGACUAGCUUGAAACCAUUUUCUUUUAAGGAAUUAGUAUUUAGACAUAACAUUAGCUAUGGAGGUAAUUAGAAUAAUUAAUGAAUAAAAUUGCAAGGACUGUAAUUUGCAUUGCCUAAUAUCGACUUUUAUAGCUUUCUUUAAAGGUUUUUGCUAAUUAAAAUGUUAAAUUGGUUUAAUUUCAAGAACAGGAUAUGGAAAAAAGCAUUGUGUUAGUUUCUUUGUGGGCUGCAUUUGACUUGAUGCUUAAUUGAAAUCAAGCCUGGAUUAAUAAUUCACUCUUUUCUCUAAGCACAUACACUGAUUCAAAAAAAAAUUGCUUAUUUUUAAAAAAAUCUGAAAUUUAAGUUUGUUUUCCAGUUGGAUUUGCUUGUUUUUACAAGGAUUAAAUAUUUCACCUUACAGCGAGUGUUGGUGGAGAGAGAGAGGGAAGGAGAGAGAGAUGGGCUUCUAGAUGGGCCUUUGAGUUCAGUUUUGUGCCAAAACCAGAUCCUUCCAAGAGUAAAAAAAAAAUGCCCUUUAACAGGUUUUGAAGUGAUUGGCAUGCUGCAUUGGUGUUUGAAUUGAGCAAAGGUAACAACAUUUGUAUCUGAGAAAAACUAGAAGCACUACAGCUAUUUUAAGCAUUGAUAUUGUAUCUAACUUUCUAUAGUUUGUUAUUCCUCCAAAUUCAUGAUUCUACUUAGGAAGUUCCUUUCUGGUCUUCGAAAUCAUUGUAAAAAAUGGGCAUUGCUAACUGAUGUGGGAGUGGCAUCCCAGAGCUUCUGAUCUCUGGUGUUAAACCUUUUGAAGUAGAAAAAAUAAUAGCUUAGAAAAACCUGGUUGAAGAUUACUUUAAGAAAAAUGGAUUUAAUAAGUGGUUGCUUAAUUGACAUGUGACCUAUAAGGUUAGAGAUGCCAGACAGCAAAAACACGGUGAAAGAGCUGGGCUAAACUUUAAGUAAUGCUUUCAAAUGCUAUUACACAUACAGAUUGUAAUCAAAAUGACUAUUUUAUCUAAAGCCCAAGUAGAGACCAUAAGAAUUGGUACUUUAUAAUUAUCAGUAAAUUGCUCAGGCUGUUGCUCAGCCCAGCUAAUUGCCUUCCUUUCUAUGCUUUCUUCUAAUCAAAGAGAAAACAAAAGUAUGAGCCAGCUCAGUGUUGUGUAGCAGCAGUGUUGUGUAGCAGCAGCUGUCACGCUCACGGGUGUUUGCCUGGUGAAGCAAGUUUGGGGCUGCCUGUUGGAAUGGGGUGCUUUUGGGUUUAAGGUAAUUACUGUCUUUGGGUACUGCUGGAUAUGGCAGGGCCUUCAGCAUUUAUCUCGGGAUACCAUACCCUGUGCCUAUCCUUAACUGUGUAUAGAACAUUUAGAGUUUCUUUGCUUGUAGUAUGUGUCUAAGUUUUGUGGAUAAUAGAACUAAAUUACCAUUUUUUCAAUCUUUUAGGUAUUGUUAUGCUUCUAAAAACAUUCAUGAGAUAAUAAAAACUUUUUUAUUUCAGUCAUAAA
Molecule: long non-coding RNA, 4424 nt
Organism: Cygnus olor (mute swan)
Lineage: Eukaryota; Metazoa; Chordata; Aves; Anseriformes; Anatidae
Exons: 3
Source: RefSeq, a predicted model, not a curated record